RNAcentral lists this ribosomal RNA (253 nucleotides) under uncultured bacterium. RNAcentral's name for it is "partial 16S ribosomal RNA". It matches the Rfam family "Bacterial small subunit ribosomal RNA", at positions 524 to 776 of the family's 1533-position model. The record is from RNAcentral.
GACAGAGGGUGCAAACGUUGUUCGGAAUUACUGGGCGUAAAGCGCGUGUAGGCGGCCCUGCAAGUCGGAUGUGAAAUCCCACGGCUCAACCGUGGAAGUGCAUUCGAAACUGCAGGGCUAGAGUCCUGGAGAGGAAGGUGGAAUGCUUGGUGUAGAGGUGAAAUUCGUAGAUAUCAAGCGGAACACCGGUGGCGAAGGCGGCGACCUGGACGAUGACUGACGCUGAGACGCGAAAGCGUGGGGAGCAAACAGG